Dermochelys coriacea (leatherback sea turtle) is the source of this 1038-nucleotide long non-coding RNA. RefSeq lists it as uncharacterized. The record is from RefSeq and is a predicted model, not a curated record. The transcript is spliced from 3 exons. Lineage: Eukaryota; Metazoa; Chordata; Testudines; Dermochelyidae.
CUCCCAGAGUGUGCUAAUGCUGCCAAACAGCUGUAUGAUGGCGACCAGACGGGAAGUCCUGGGAGCAUAGAUCAAAGGAUGCAAGACCUCAGACUCUCAUUAUAUAGGUUACUGAGGCAAGGAUCGCGAUUCCUGGAAACACCAUUGAUAUUUGCAGAAUUGAGAAAUCCCAAACCUUACCCUGGCCAAGAGACUCCACUGGCCAGACAGGCAGCUGCCCAGCAAAGUUCAGCUUGGAGACCAGGGAAGAGGAUCAACACUGCCCCGAGUCCCGUCUUCAGCCAAUGACAGUUGAGAAGGAACUGAGGGGCGCACGAGACGCGAGCGCUCAGGCAGACUCUAAACGAGACUGAGACAGCAGCUGAGCACGUGCAUCCUGACCAGGCACUGCUACCAAAGAUCUCCCGAUCUAUGGCGCCAGGACACAUCAUCACCUGGAGUGGAGCACCCACAGGGACAGCACUUGAAGAAGAACUAUGAUUGCUCAUGUAGUGGUCCUAUACUAACAAAGGGUCACCUACUCAAAAUGUCAGGGGUAAGAGCCAGACACCAACUACCUGACUUUUGGGUGGUGUACAUGUUGUCACCCAACAUUUUAAACACAUUUUUGACUGAUGUGAUUACAGCCCACCAUGCAAAGGGUUCUCCUCCAGUAGUGACAUUAGAACACAGGUUUAUCCUCUUUUCCCAGAAGGAUUGGCUCUAGGGUGACCAGAUGUCCCAAUUUUAUAGCGACAGUCCUGAUUUUGGGGGCUUUUUUUUUUUUAAAUAUAGGCACCUAUUACCCCCCACCCCAUCCCAAUUUUUUACACUUGCUAUCUGGUCACCCUAAUUGGCUCUGACACAUGCAAUUCCACAAGGUGGUAAAUUGUACUGUCCUGCAACCCCCAACACACACAGCUAUCUCCAAUGAAAUGCAGUCUCUGGCUAGAAAGAAUAAAAUAUACUGUAUAUUCUCUUUCAUUUCCCCUUCCGAUACAAUAUGUUGCCUCCAACUUUGCUAGGCUAGGUUAUUUAAAAAUAAAUAAAUAGAAAGUU